Myodes glareolus (Bank vole) is the source of this 326-nucleotide non-coding RNA. The record is from RefSeq and is a predicted model, not a curated record. Lineage: Eukaryota; Metazoa; Chordata; Mammalia; Rodentia; Cricetidae.
CCGUUACUGUAGGCGUAUGGAGACUCGGCUGCGCCGUCCUGGAGGCUCUCCAGGAUCUCGCCCUUGCCCACGUCGCUGUCGCCCACCAGCAGGAACUUGAGCAGGCAGGUCCCCACUGAACAUUUGGUAAGAGAAUGAGAGCAGCCGUGUGUGACCAGAGCCACCAGUCUGAUGGCCCUCUAGAGACACUUUCUUGUUGAGCCACCUGCCCCUGCCAGAAGCAGAAGUGAAUCACCGAGAUUAGAAGCCACCAGAAACCCUGCAAAUGCAUGUGUGCAUGCAUGUAUGUAUGUAUACCGGAACGAGCUAAUAGAGUGUCAAGUGGA